RNAcentral lists this ribosomal RNA (253 nucleotides) under uncultured bacterium. Its description in RNAcentral is "partial 16S ribosomal RNA". It matches the Rfam family "Bacterial small subunit ribosomal RNA", at positions 524 to 776 of the family's 1533-position model. The record is from RNAcentral.
UACGUAGGGGGCAAGCGUUGCUCGGAAUUAUUGGGCGUAAAGGGUAGGUAGGUGGUCUUGUUUGUCUAGGGUGAAAUCCCAGGGCUUAACCCUGGAAGUGCCCUAGAAACGGCAAGACUAGAGUUCUAGAGGGGGUCGUGGAAUUCCCGGUGUAGCGGUGAAAUGCGUAGAGAUCGGGAGGAACACCAGCGGCGAAGGCGGCGACCUGGAUAGAUACUGACACUCAACUACGAAAGCGUGGGGAUCAAACAGG